Molecule: long non-coding RNA, 3608 nt
Organism: Gasterosteus aculeatus aculeatus (three-spined stickleback)
Lineage: Eukaryota; Metazoa; Chordata; Actinopteri; Perciformes; Gasterosteidae
Source: Ensembl
CAAGUUUAGGGUGUGAUGCAUUAGGACAUUAAAUGCAAUAUAGUGCAGAAGGAAAGGAAAAAAGGAAAGGAAAAAAAAAUUGCCUAUUGUGUCAGUGCCCAAAGUUUUAAACCUACUGCAAAACAUGUACCCUUUAGUCCCUGAGGACCGACCGUACUUUUGACACCAUCCUUGCUCUAUUUACCAUGUUGUACUGCAUGACUGAAAUGGUGAUCUUUGCACUGUGUGACAGCUCUCAUGUUGAGGUCGAUAUCUGGUUGGUAUUUGCUCCCAAGUGCAUGAUGUAAACAGAAACAUCAACCUCUACUUUCACUGUUUUUCGGGGUGUUCAAGUUCUCACUUGAUGUAAUGUGCGUUUGUUUACUUGCACAUUUAAAUAUGUCAGAUUUAAUUUUGGACUGUGAGGUUUUACUGUUUGAGGUGUUUUAACACCAAAACCCCUCUUUACAACUGCUUGUAUAUUGUACUGUUCUGGUGGUUCAGCAGAGCUACAACAGGAAAUGCUGUGCUCUGUUAAACGCAAGUAUGUGUUCGUCUGUUUUCAUGAGGAUUUGGGAAAUACUGUUGUGUUCUGUUUAUAUGUAGAGGUAUUUGGGUUCAGGCCGUGAAACGCAGUUUCUCCUGAUUAAUCGGGAUCCAACCUCUAGUUGUGCGUUUGACUACACUCUCUCAUCUUCUUCCAUUUAAUGCACUCUGAAUUUGAACCAAAGCAUUAACUUCAAGGUAGCUGCAUGAGAUGUUUCUUUCAUGCAAAUAUGCAAAGAGAUGCUUCAUAUUCAUCAAGGAUUCCGUUUGUUUAGUCCAACUGAUGAAAUUAUUGAGUUUUAUUUAGUGUGUUUUUUUUGGUGAAGAGAUUAUAGGAUUUGAAUUAUCCAUAUCCAGCACAUAAUUAUGCUUAAAACUAUGCAUCAAAUGUCACUAUUUGUGUUGCUUUGGCCACUUAACAUUGUGUGUAAAGGGCACCAUGACCAUACGCUGUAUUUUCCCCUCAUAGCAUCGGCCACAAUAGAAAUAGCAAAGUAGAGUCCGUUGGCGUUUGAAUCCUUGGAGCUGAACACUACAAAGCUCUUGUCUGACUUAGUUCGCAUGAGUUCCCCGUCUCUGCCUCAUUAAGCCUCUUCUCUCUUGUUUGGGUGUAUUAAUAGCUCAAGAGGAGGAAGAGGCAAAGUGGCCUAUAUUGAGCUCCGCUCUGGGAGCCGGGCGCUAUCAGCUCGUGUGCUGCAGGGCUGUUUGUUCCAAAGAAAAUCGCGUAGGCGCAGACCGUCUCUGUGGGACCCAGCUCGCUUUCCUUCGUAGGGACAAUGACACCGUAUCACAGGAAAGGGUUACUUUAGUACAAACGUCUCGAGAAGCCACAUUCUUUUUAAACUAGGUUUCCACCCUUGAACAAAGAACAAAAAAAUGUUUAGAUUUGGUGUCCCAUUGGCUCUAUAUUUUUGUUUUAUUGGUUCCCUGGGAAUUAAAUGAAAGUUCACUGUUCUGGAAACAGUGCUUCAUCCUUUUCUGCUUUUAUCCGUGUCUCCAACCUGCUAUUCUAAACCGUUUGUACCCUUCUGAAGUUAGUUUGGAUCCAUAGGAUCUGGGGAACUUCUUACCGCUGUCAGUCGUGUGUGAGCCCGGUGUUGGUACCGAAGCCCAGUGUGUCAUCUUGUGUUCUUUGUGACGAUGCUGCGGCUGUGAGAUCCGAUGGAGCUGUCCGCGGUACUGAAGCCACCAAACCUUUACUGCAUGUGUGGAAAAGGUCAUCGAAAGCAUUUUAUGAAGGAAUCUGAUCAAAUGAGGUGUAGUACAAGUCAAACGUUUGGAUUCACGUUCUCAUUCAAUUGACUGAGUUCCAAUGAAAAACAGUUCACACUAUGUUUUGUGGAUUAUCAAAACUGAUAAUUAUGGAAAUUAUAAAUGGCAGUUUCAAAAGUAAUAAUUGCAAUUCUGAUGGCCACUUGAAACCAAAGGUACAACAUCCGUCUUGGAAAUUGGCUGAAAAGACUCUUAAAUGAUCCAGGUUAACUUGCGCCUUCCAGAGAGGUCGUCAACACAAUCGGCUACAGAAGGGCACGUUUGUCUUGCUCAGAGACACUUCAGCAGCUACGUUGGGGCUUGAACGUGUAUUUAUUAGGGUCACUCAGCCCGGUGUUACUGUUAACAGAUACGUGCGAGAAAGUUUUACUGUUUCGCCUCAAAGACGGAAACAUUGAUCAUUUGAUGUACAAAGGUUUGACAUUCAGUCCUCAAGCCAACUUGUCCCUUUCGACAUGAUCACCAUCGUCUUCGUCACGUAUGUGCCAAUGCUUGAUUUCUGACUAUUUUUCUCUUUCCAUCAACUCUAAUCAUAUUCUUGUCAUGUUGUUUACUGAAGCGUGUCAACAGGUACUGUAGCAGUAAUUCCCUUUGAGAUUGGUUGGUAUUAAACUGUUAAAAAAAACACAAUCAAGCUUUAAAAGGCAAAACUUUGCACUUGCAUUUUUAUCAUGCAAUUGGUUUUUGUAAAAAGAGCAAAAAUUCUUAAUUUUGUACCGGUUCAGAUGUUUAACUUAUCCAUUCGUGUGUUUUUGUUCUUUGCUGUGGGCCAACACAUCUGAGCCCAAAAUAUAAACCUCAACAACGAAUAGUACUUUUACUGCGAGGACCCCCCCCCCCCCCCCCCCGUGCACACCUGCUUUCUUAGGACACUGUGAACUUCAUCAUUCACACCAUUGACAUUCUGAGGAAGAAAACUUUGAUUUGCUUCAGUAAAGGCUUUACUUAGUGGCUGAAUACGUCUUUACAUUUAAUAACCUGGAACCAGACAGAAUGAGUCUUUUAAUAGAUAUUUGGUAAGUGUAUUACUGAAGAUAUUUUGUGAUACCAGGAUUUGUGUGUAUGAGAGGUCAGAAUGACAAUAAAUGUACGAUGUCCUGUCCAUUUAUUGGUCUUUACUAUUAAAGUAGGUACAACUACAACGGUUUUAUAUUUAAAAAUGCUAUUCAAGGCCGGUUAGGACCAUGGGAACUUUAGUUCAACAAGCAGCCUCUAGAUGGCAGUGUUUAAUAAAGUGCUUCUCAAAGAACACUUUCCUGUGCAGCAUGACCUCCUUUCUGAGUUUACGAUGUAUUCAUAGAUUAGUAAAAUAUUAGAUUGUGUGUUAGAUUAUGCUUCCAAAGCAAAAUGCAAUUAGUCACUCUGUCUGGCCGGAUUAGAGUGUAGUCCGUAUGUACCUGGGUGAAUAAAUGCAUAUGUAUAACCAAACUAAGAUGUCUUUAAAAAGUGAUCUGUAAUGUAGAUGUCCAGUCAUAUUAUUUUUGUGCUCUGAUUAGAAGAAUGAUGUGCCGUGUGGAUCUGACAAAAGGUUUCAAGUCUCUUUUAAAAAGCCCGGUUAAGAUGAACCAAAAUGUGAUAUUGUGUUGACAACUAAACAAGUGUGAGACACUUCAGAGCACUAAGUGAACUCUGCUGACAGGAGGCUUCUAGAUAACCUUUAAAGUACCCAUAGAGAGCAGUGUUUGUAGAUUUGUCCUGUUUAGUUUAGCAAGUUAGGGUUGUAUGUAUCCUUUUAGAAAAGAUUCAACUGUCACAUGUUGCAAUAAAAAUAUGAUCUAAUAUUACUAUUAGAUUCUAUUCUCCAAUCGGGA